This 410-nucleotide ribosomal RNA is filed under the name Pseudomonas sp. R-41740. RNAcentral's name for it is "bacterial SSU rRNA". It matches the Rfam family "Bacterial small subunit ribosomal RNA", at positions 30 to 440 of the family's 1533-position model. Lineage: Bacteria; Pseudomonadati; Pseudomonadota; Gammaproteobacteria; Pseudomonadales; Pseudomonadaceae. The record is from RNAcentral.
AUUGAACGCUGGCGGCAGGCCUAACACAUGCAAGUCGAGCGGUAGAGAGAAGCUUGCUUCUCUUGAGAGCGGCGGACGGGUGAGUAAUGCCUAGGAAUCUGCCUGGUAGUGGGGGAUAACGUUCGGAAACGGACGCUAAUACCGCAUACGUCCUACGGGAGAAAGCAGGGGACCUUCGGGCCUUGCGCUAUCAGAUGAGCCUAGGUCGGAUUAGCUAGUUGGUGAGGUAAUGGCUCACCAAGGCGACGAUCCGUAACUGGUCUGAGAGGAUGAUCAGUNACACUGGAACUGAGACACGGUCCAGACUCCUACGGGAGGCAGCNGUGGGGAAUAUUGGACAAUGGGCGAAAGCCUGAUCCAGCCAUGCCGCGUGUGUGAAGAAGGUCUUCGGAUUGUAAAGCACUUUAAGU